This 73-nucleotide transfer RNA is filed under the name Gammaproteobacteria bacterium. RNAcentral describes it as "tRNA-Lys". It matches the Rfam family "tRNA". From Rfam's summary of the family: Transfer RNA (tRNA) molecules are approximately 80 nucleotides in length. Lineage: Bacteria; Pseudomonadati; Pseudomonadota; Gammaproteobacteria. The record is from RNAcentral. RNAcentral also lists the same sequence under 6 other names.
GCGCCGCUAGCUCAAUUGGCAGAGCAACUGACUCUUAAUCAGUAGGUUCGGGGUUCGAUUCCCUGGCGGCGCA